RNAcentral lists this ribosomal RNA (399 nucleotides) under Prevotella sp. oral taxon 376. RNAcentral's name for it is "bacterial SSU rRNA". It matches the Rfam family "Bacterial small subunit ribosomal RNA", at positions 28 to 414 of the family's 1533-position model. Lineage: Bacteria; Pseudomonadati; Bacteroidota; Bacteroidia; Bacteroidales; Prevotellaceae. The record is from RNAcentral.
GAUGAACGCUAGCUACAGGCUUAACACAUGCAAGUCGAGGGGCAUCAUGUCGGUUGCUUGCAACCGAUGAUGGCGACCGGCGAAUGGGUGAGUAACGCGUAUCCAACCUGCCCCCGGCCGGGGUAUAACCCGUCGAAAGGCGACCUAAUCCCCCAUGCAGUCCUCUGAGGUCCUCCGAUGAGGAUGAAAGGUAUUUUUCCGGCCGGUCGAUAGGGAUGCGUCCGAUUAGCUUGCUGGCGGGGUAACGGCCCACCAGGGCUUCGAUCGGUAGGGGUUCUGAGAGGAAGGUCCCCCACACUGGUACUGAGACACGGACCAGACUCCUACGGGAGGCAGCAGUGAGGAAUAUUGGUCAAUGGGCGGAAGCCUGAACCAGCCAAGUAGCGUGCAGGAGGACGG